GCGCGAAUACCUGCAGCGCGUCACAUUCACUUUGUCAAGCCUCUCACUCUAGCACACACACACACACACACACUCACGCACACACAAACUCACGCACAGGCUUUGUUCGUAGAGGUGCCAUGACCACCAUGAGCGUCACCCCUAAGCACUCACCCAGCGCCGAAACAGCCGCAGAUGUUCAAAACAGGUCUGCAGCGCCUUUGCCGGAAGCUGACGCGACUUCUUUGGGGCUGAUUUGGACGCGUGCCGGUAUUGUGGCACUUGUCGCAGUGUUUUCCUGGAUCACGAUCUCGUACUGCUCGCACGUGUACUUCGACCGUGACUCGGCGUUUCACAACGCCCUCGAGUGCUCGGAGCGGGUACUCAAACAGCACGAGAAGAGCAACUGGCUGCUGAACGGCACGCUGCUAGGUUCAACCCGGCUUGGCCGUCUUGUGCUGUGGGAUGCAGAUCUUGACAUUGGGGUCUUGGUGCCGUCUCCAAGCUCUUUCGACGCCGCCUCUGCUGCGCUGGACGAGGAGUGUUUUGGCCACAGGUCUAUUGUGAAGAGGGGUGCUCUCAACUCUGACUUACGAAUCUGGCGCAAGUGUACGAGCCGCAUCUGCGCCGAGUUUUACGAGACGAUGCUGGUAAGCGGCACAGCCAAGACCGGCGAAGGGCAGUCGAAAGAGUCGGAUCUGUUUCCGUUGAAGUCGUGCACCGUUUCUGGUGUUCACGCAAAGUGUCCCAACAACGCGCCGUUUUACCUCGCGCAGGCGUACGGGCAGGACUGGCUGACAAUCCCUCUCAUCAAGCUGUUCUGACGGUGCCCGCUGAGCAUCCUCUCUCGCCGGAGUCGGGUCGUCUUGUGUGAAGCGGCACCUGCCUCUACACUCACGGGUACGCGCGCACCUCUCGCGGAUCUUGUGCGCAGGUUGCGUAGGUUUAUGCACGAAGAGCUUGCUGUUGUUGUAAAAGGACGCAGGCAACUAUGCGCGGACGCCUUCGGUUUCAUCGUCGCCGUAGCAGUCAAGCGUCCUCCACCUCCGCCAUGGGAAGACCAUGCAACAAGCACGGAGGAUCCUGCGCCGAACCCUCCGGAGCCCCUCUCCCCCUCCACACACGAAAAAUUUCUUUUUCCCUUCUUUUCCCUUUUCACCUGUACUUGCCACGCCUCUUCUUUCUCGCGCCUCCAUUCUCGACUGCAUCGUGCGCCUGAUGAAGGCGUCGUGUACGCAUGUGUGAAACGGGUAGAUAGGGCGGCCUUCAAAUUGCUCAUGCAUGCAGCGGUGCCACGCGCAGCUCGGCGACAGUGAGGCGAGUGCGCGAGCCGCCGAGGCAUGAUUGACAGGGACGGUGCACCUCACGGCGUGCACCUCACUGUAUUUGCACUUGAAUUUCACAC
Molecule: unclassified non-coding RNA, 1384 nt
Filed under: Leishmania donovani
Lineage: Eukaryota; Euglenozoa; Kinetoplastea; Trypanosomatida; Trypanosomatidae
Description: gene:LdHU3.34.5500(CDS-product:LicD_family_putati ve)
Source: RNAcentral